RNAcentral lists this ribosomal RNA (496 nucleotides) under uncultured bacterium. Its description in RNAcentral is "partial 16S ribosomal RNA". It matches the Rfam family "Bacterial small subunit ribosomal RNA", at positions 29 to 507 of the family's 1533-position model. The record is from RNAcentral.
AUGAACGCUGGCGGCGUGCCUAAUACAUGCAAAUCGAGCGAACAGAUGAGGAGCUUGCUCCUCUGACGUUAGCGGCGGACGGGUGAGUAACACGUGGAUAACCUACCUAUAAGACUGGUAUAACUUCGGGAAACCGGAGCUAAUACCGGAUAAUAUAUUGAACCGCAUGGUUCAAUAGUGAAAGACGGUUUUGCUGUCACUUAUAGAUGGAUCCGCGCCGCAUUAGCUAGUUGGUAAGGUAACGGCUUACCAAGGCAACGAUGCGUAGCCGACCUGAGAGGGUGAUCGGCCACACUGGAACUGAGACACGGUCCAGACUCCUACGGGAGGCAGCAGUAGGGAAUCUUCCGCAAUGGGCGAAAGCCUGACGGAGCAACGCCGCGUGAGUGAUGAAGGUCUUCGGAUCGUAAAACUCUGUUAUUAGGGAAGAACAAAUGUGUAAGUAACUAUGCACGUCUUGACGGUACCUAAUCAGAAAGCCACGGCUAACUACGUG